UGUGAUAGUCUAAAUCUCAUAAUAUUUAGGAAUGAUUUUAGAUAGGAAGAAUAAGGUUUUUGAAGAUUCUUGGAUAAGAGCUUGAACAGAAACAUUGAACCCUAGGCUAAAGGUAAAUGAUCAAGAAAACCUUUCUUGAGAUUCUUGAAUUAAUUUCUUUAAAUUUCUAUGGCCAAAAAUUAUGAUUUUCAUAAUAAAGAUGAAAAUUUGAUUUUAAAAACAUUUUUAUUAGUCAAGGAAUUUGUUUAGGAUUUUCUUGGAGGUAAAAAAAAUAAAAACAUCACUUUUUAAUAUUUUCCAGUCAGCUAAUUCGUAACAGCACCGUAUAAGUUACUAAAAUAGUCAUAACUUUUUACUCAGAAAUUGGAUUGGCGUGAAUUUGGUGGCGUUGGAAAAUAGAUUCAAUUACAUCUAAUUUAAUAAGGUUAUGGCUCACAUAACUCUUAAUAUUUUAAGAAAUAUAGUGGUCUAAAAUUGACCAAAGUAGAAUAUUAACAUCAAAACUUAAUCGAUAAGGAAGCUUCAAGAACACUUUUCAUGAACUCAUAAAGAACUUAAAUCCUUAAAUUUCAAGAAUGAAAUCACGUUGAAAAUAACAUGAUUGGCGUGUAGGUGAAUGAACUCAACACAUUUGAAGCUCACCUAUCUUUUAGGGAUCACCCCUUGACGAAAUUCACAAGUGAUUCUUUAACGUGCUUGACGAAUAUUGAACUUCUUUCCUUUUCUUCUUUCCCCUUCUCUCCAUGCCCUAGCGUGAAAAUCAUUUUUCUAAAUUGAAUAAAAUAUGACUUUAUAUAAUUAAACUCCUAAAAAUGAAUAUGAAAUAGACCAAAUUAUCCUUCUAAAAUUCGUUUUUCAGGCUUUCCUUAUUUCAACAGCUCAACUUUCAAAGGGAAUAACUCACUCAAAAAUUUUAAACAAAAAUUUAAAUUAGAUUACAUUAAUUUAAUAUUUUAAACAAAAAAUUUAAAUAUUCAAAAAUUAUAUAAAAAGUAUUAUAAGUUAUAAUUUUCGCAUGUUUAUAUAAUGAAAAAUAUUAAUCAAAAUUUUUAUAAUUUAAUCCUAAAAAUAAAAAUCAUGAUAACUAAAAUUGGAAGGAGGGAAAGUUGCUUUGACUUAGAUUUUUUUUUAAAAAAAAAAAGGAGGUUGGAAAAGAAAGACACAUAAAGGCAAGCAUGUAUGCCACGUGUUGAUGUGCUUCCACGUGUGCGCUUAAGGGUUUAUUAGCCGACACAUAUUGUGUAUAAUAUCAUCAUAUUCAUAUUUCUCCCCUCUUAUCGUAACUCCUUCAUUCACUUUUUCUUUUUAAUUCUCAAGUUUUAUUUUUUUUUAUUAUAUUAUAGAAAAAAGAAUGGGUUCUGAAACAUUUCUUGAAGUCAUCCUUGCUAUCUUACUUCCUCCUGUUGGUGUUUUCCUACGUUAUGGUUGUGGUGUAAGUUGUCCUCUUUACCCUAAUUAAACAUACAUCUUUUUUAAUUACACCCAUCACUAUUUAAAUUAUUAGAUACAAUACAUAAUUAAAUAUGUCAUUUAGUUGAUAUUUGUGUCCUAAACAACUUUGGAUGUACUUAAAUUUGAACAAUGUAUAGUAGGAUGCCACAUACAACAUAAUACUGUAUGAAUGUAUUUUGUUUGUUCAAAUUGAACGUACAUGUACAAUUGGAAGAGUAUGGAUUGCAUGUGACUAUCAAAAUUUUCAUUUUAAUAUAUCAUAUUAGGAAAUGUAUUAUUAAUUAAUUCAUAAUAAUGGAUGGAUGCAGGUGGAGUUUUGGAUUUGUGUGUUGCUGACAAUACUGGGAUACAUACCGGGCAUUAUUUAUGCACUCUAUGUCUUGGUUGGAUAGUAUAAUAGUGCUAUUUGCCUAUCAUUCUCAAAUAAAGAAGUACUCUUAAUUUCUUGUUCUGUCUUCUUUUUUAUUUUGUAUUCUCUCUUAAAUGUUCUUAAAUACACUCCCCACUGUCUUAUAUAUGUUUGAUCACUCUUAUCUUUUUUAAGGUAAUUACUAUUACUAUUUUUUAGACCACUUCCUUUUUCAGUUGAUCUACUUCCUUUUUGACGUAUAUUGAGAAAUCAUAAAUAAAAUGUUAAUUUUAUUUAUUCGUUCUUAAGAAAAAAUUGAUGAACAGAUAAUAUGAGAUUUUGAGAUCAUUAUUGUCCUAGUGUAGUUGGUUGCUCAAUGUAAAUACUUUAAUGUUGCUACUACGUUUUAUAUUCAACACUUGAUCGAGUUGGGGAUAUAGGCAGAGAAACAUUCGUGGUUGAGACUUUUUUAAGAUUAGUGAGAAGUUAAGAGACAGUUUGUGCAGUUAUAAAUCAACCGUCUAAAAUAUAAUUGAUAUCAAGUGUGGAAAUUUACGUGUAUAAAUAAAUAUCUACUACUAAGUUAAUAUAGUUAUAGUUUUUUUUUAUAUAAUUUACACGCUUUUAUAAUUUGAUAUUUGUAUAUAAUCUAUAUAAUUUUUGUAAUGAAUUUAUGUAUUUGUUUGCACAUCGAAUUAUACAAAUAAUUCGUGAAUUAUAUAAUUUCGUAAGCACAAAAAUAUCCUCUUUGUUAUAAAAUCAAGCUCAUGACAAUAUAAAUAUAAAGAGAUGAAGACAAGAGAAGUAAGAUGGAAGAUAAGACUUUCUUCUUAUUCAAGUGUAUGCAAGUCUCAUAUGUAUCUAUUACAAUAGUGAAUGAACAACCCUAUUUAUAGAGUGAGAAAUCACUCCAAAGGUCACCAUAUUAUUUAUCAUAAUAAAUAGAUACAUUCUUAUCCAAAUAGGUUCAUGUAACCUAGUGAAUAUGAAUGGUUGUUCAUGUACCAACCUUAUGGACUAUCCACUCAUUCAAUGAAUUUAUAACACUCCCCCUUGGAUGUCCAUAGAUAAUGUGCCUCGUUAAAAACCUUACUAGGAAAAAUCCUGUGGGAAAAAAUUCUAGUGAAGGAAAAAGAGUACACAUAUUUUUUGAUACGCACCAUUUGUUGCCUCAUUAAAAACCUUGCCAGGAAAACCCAGUGGGAAAAAACCUCGAUCAAGGGAAAAAGAGUGCAACGCGUAUUGUACUCCCCCUGAUUUAAACAUCACUUAAUUUCUUGCGAUGAUGUCUCCAAUCUUCGUACAUUGUGGUUGGUAUAUUUUUUUUUUAAAGAAAAACCACACAUUUCUUGAAUAUGGUGUGUCAUUUAUCUCAACCAAACACACUUUCAACUUGCUUCAUGGAGGACUUUUAUUUCUGCAUAGCAAUAUUUGUUUGCUUCAUUGAUCGCCAGGAUAUUAUUGUGCCUCCACAUGAAUACACAUAGCGUGGUUGAGAUAGAGCUUUAUACGGAUCAGAUAAAUAUUCUGCAUUUGCGUAAUCAAUCAAUUUUGUCUUGGAUUCCUCGGGAUAGAAUAAACCCAUAAAUAUGGUUCUUCGAGGAUAUUCAAUCAUGUGCUCAAAACACCAUUUCAAUGUCCUUUUAUCGGGGAGAAAAUGAAUCUUGCCAGUAAAUUUACUGCAAAACAAAUAUCUGGAAUAAUAUUGUUAGUAAGAUGCACUAGUGCCCUGAUUACACCAAGAUAGAGUUUCAUCACCAAGAAACUCUCAUCCUUCUUUUGAGAUCAAACUGAAUCAUCAUUUAUGUCAAGUGAUCUCAUAAUCAUUGGGGUACUCAAUGAAUGCGAUAUAUCCACAUAAAAUUGCAUCAAAAUUUUUCAGUGUAUGUGCACCGUUAGACAAAUAUUUUAUUUGUCAAAUUAACAAUCUGUAGGUCAAGACAAAAUUUUGUCUUACCAAGACCUUUUCAUAAAAAUACAAGGACAAUUAGGGUCAUUCUUUUGUACCCUUUUUCUUCCUUGACUAUUUCAAUCCAUAUAAGAAUUCUUGAAGCUUUACUGGAUAAGUUUCUUUCAAACUCUUAUAUGCUUCAGACACCUCGAUUGUUUCAAGGAUUUUCAUAUAACCUUCAUUGUCUAGCUAGACAUUACAAUUAUUCGUUUACAUGCAUUCAAGUUUUCAUAUGUUGCCAGAUCAAAACAAACCUCAUUUCAUCCACCAAAGGAGAAAACAUCUCCACUAAUGUCAGGAGUUUUGCGAUAAACCUUUAUGCCCCAAGGCACAAAUCGUAUUUGAUAACUUACGGUUAUACUAUCGCAUAAUAAUUUAUUUGUACCCCACUGACACUAUAUCUUGAUUUAUGGACUACCAGUCCAAAAUGUCACUUUUCUAAGUGAAACAAAAUAUACUUGAAUUGUGCAUUUUACUUGGUCAACCAUUUAUCUGUUCACACUAUAUGACAGAUUUGAAUUCAAGAUCCUCAUCACAAUUUAUAUCAUUGAGCGCUACCUCAUAUCAAAGAUACCGUCGACAGUUAUUUGAUAUCGAUUUCAACAAGACAUAACUUAUCGAGAUCUCUUCAUUUUUCAUUAUUUCAGGUACCUGAACCUUUUUCAAGAUUUUAUGAAGUGUUAUGUCAAUGUGCUCUUUUAUAGCACUUGCCUCAUUAUCAUGACCAUAUUGAUCAUUUGCUCCUUCCUUCU
RNAcentral lists this long non-coding RNA (4504 nucleotides) under Solanum lycopersicum (tomato). RNAcentral's name for it is "long non-coding RNA (SLYC_LNC000048)". The record is from RNAcentral. Lineage: Eukaryota; Viridiplantae; Streptophyta; Magnoliopsida; Solanales; Solanaceae.